This 447-nucleotide ribosomal RNA is filed under the name uncultured bacterium. RNAcentral's name for it is "partial 16S ribosomal RNA". It matches the Rfam family "Bacterial small subunit ribosomal RNA", at positions 29 to 523 of the family's 1533-position model. The record is from RNAcentral.
AACGAACGCUGGCGGCAGGCUUAACACAUGCAAGUCGAGCGCCCCGCAAGGGGAGCGGCAGACGGGUGAGUAACGCGUGGGAAUCUACCCAACCCUACGGAACAACAGUUGGAAACGACUGCUAAUACCGUAUACGCCCUUAGGGGGAAAGAUUUAUCGGGGAUGGAUGAGCCCGCGUUGGAUUAGCUAGUUGGUGGGGUAAAGGCCUACCAAGGCGACGAUCCAUAGCUGGUCUGAGAGGAUGAUCAGCCACAUUGGGACUGAGACACGGCCCAAACUCCUACGGGAGGCAGCAGUGGGGAAUAUUGGACAAUGGGCGCAAGCCUGAUCCAGCCAUGCCGCGUGAGUGAUGAAGGUCUUAGGAUUGUAAAGCUCUUUCACCGGUGAAGAUAAUGACGGUAACCGGAGAAGAAGCCCCGGCUAACUUCGUGCCAGCAGCCGCAGUAA